GAUCAUGGCUCAGGAUGAACGCUGGCGGCGUGCUUAACACAUGCAAGUCGAACGAUUGAAGCUGGAGCUUGCUCCGGCCGAUUUAGUGGCGGACGGGUGAGUAACGCGUGGGUAACCUGCCUCAUACAGGGGGAUAGCAGUUGGAAACGACUGGUAAAACCGCAUAAGCGCACGGUGUCGCAUGACACAGUGUGAAAACACUCCGGUGGUAAUGAGAUGGACCCGCGU
RNAcentral lists this ribosomal RNA (228 nucleotides) under uncultured bacterium. RNAcentral describes it as "partial 16S ribosomal RNA". It matches the Rfam family "Bacterial small subunit ribosomal RNA", at positions 15 to 236 of the family's 1533-position model. The record is from RNAcentral.